Molecule: transfer RNA, 63 nt
Filed under: Octodrilus gradinescui
Lineage: Eukaryota; Metazoa; Annelida; Clitellata; Crassiclitellata; Lumbricidae
Description: tRNA-Leu
Source: RNAcentral
UAAUAAGUUGGCAGAAUAGUGCCACCGACUUAGGAUCGGUUCAAGGGUAACCCCACUUAUUAU